Molecule: small nuclear RNA, 104 nt
Organism: Balaenoptera musculus (blue whale)
Lineage: Eukaryota; Metazoa; Chordata; Mammalia; Artiodactyla; Balaenopteridae
Source: Ensembl
GUGCUCACUUCAGCAGCCCACAUACUAAAAUUGGAAUGAUUCAGAGAUUAGCACGACCCCUGUGCAAGGAUGACAUGAAAAUUCAUGAAAUAUUCCAUAUAAAU